RNAcentral lists this long non-coding RNA (15854 nucleotides) under Setaria viridis. Its description in RNAcentral is "long non-coding RNA (SVIR_LNC010093)". The stretch from base 285 to 372 matches the Rfam family "Plant small nucleolar RNA SNOR75". Lineage: Eukaryota; Viridiplantae; Streptophyta; Magnoliopsida; Poales; Poaceae. The record is from RNAcentral.
CCAUCCCCGUUCGUCCCCAACUCGCCAAAUCCGCAGCCGCCGCAAGCACAGAGACCCUCUAGAUCGAGCGCGAGCUCCACCCCCGCCGCCGCGAUGAGGGCCAAGGUUCGUCUCGAUUCUGUUCCUCCGCCUCCGUUGCGAUAUCGUUUGCUGUUUCGAUGAUGCCAUGACAUUGCGUAGUAGAAUUAGAGAACUAGUGCUGUCCUAGGGUUUGGUUCUAGAAGCUGUGCUAUGCGUGGUUUCUGCUGAUUUUGUCUUCGAUUCGAACGGUUAUGCUAUGCUGUUCUCUAUGAUGACGAAACACAGAUGACGAGUCUGACGAAAUCCAUUCCAUUAAACCAUGGGGACAAUCGAGGCAUUUGUCUGAGAGAACACUGAUCUGCUAGAAAAAGAUUUGUUUCGUCUAUGUCCUGUUUUAAAUUUCGGUUUAUUUGUUCGCAAUUGUUUCGGCAGUACUGGCAUAAUGAGGAAAAUCCUUAUUUUUCUGAUAUAGUUGAUGAUAAAUACCUCCUACUCAUUCUGAAUGCCAGAACACUGCCUGUUAUCCCUGUUUUGUUUUGUUUUCUUUUUGAAAGAGGUACCUUGUUUUGUUGGUAGAUUAGAUAAGGUUUGUUGGCUUUUGCCAUGUUCACUCUAAUCGGACAGAUUCAGAUCUUUUUUUAGGAAUCCUUAACAUUUUUCGCAAAAAAGAGUAAUCCUUCAUUGCUUGAUGUUGGGAUAUGAUGAAGAACCUUUGGUCCGUGUUUCUGAUCAACCCUUGAUGAGUAAACCACUCCUAAAGAAUCUGAUCCCAAACAAUUUAUAAAAAUAAUUGUGCUUUGUUCUGUAUAUUUAUCUAAUCCGAUAAAUUUGCCUGACACGAAGGAUACUGAUGCAUCUUGGCUUGUUCUGAUGUUCAGUGGAAGAAGAAGAGAAUGAGGAGGCUCAAAAGGAAGCGCCGAAAGAUGAGGCAGAGAUCCAAGUAGGCUUGCCUGGAGGAUGAAGGGAACUGUCUGUUGCAUUGUGACCUAGGCUUGUUAGGAUAAACACCCCGACGUGCUUUGGUGUAGAUGCAGGAGAUGUUUACCUUCUUGGGGUCUAGUUUUAUUUUUAGCUCAUCAAAACUCUGGUCAUGUUCUAAGGCUGGGUUUUAUGUAAUGUGAGGAUAAUAUGUUGCUUUGUGACUGAGUUUAUGCAGUUAAACGAGAUUUCUUGCACUAAAAAAUAUACUUACUGCCUAUCUGUUACCCUUGUGAUCGGUAGUUGUUUCCGUUAUCUGUGCUGUUUUCUCACGCGCUGUGGCAAUUUUCAGAAUCUCAGGAUGUUUUGCAUUGCUCCAUGGUGUAGAUGGAAUAGUUGCUUUGUUUUUGGUUGAGGCAUGACUGCAUCACUUGUUGAUUACAGAGCAGAGAGCGCUGGUGUUUAUGAGUUACAUUGGAUUUGUAUUGCUGUUGAGUUGUUAAUUACUGGAGUUUUAUAUCUCGUAUAGCUCUGGUGUUCUACUUUGCUUCGAUAAAUGAUGCCAUUUUAGCAGGCGAUUCUAAUUCUGCUGUCAGCUCCUGAUAUGUCAUGUUGAGAUCACUCCAUUGAGAUUAUGUGAAUCUUGAACUGUGUGCAAUUCGAAAUUGUAGAAAUAAUUGACUGCUUUGGGAUGGGAUUUGGGUUUGCAAUAUGUGGAGGAACAACAUAGACCUGUCUGGUUCAAACAGGCGUCAGUGAAAAAGCCUUCAGUGAACUCGUGGCGUCGACUCGUGAACUCUGAAACAGAUGAGGUGCAGGUGCACAAUAGAGACGGCUGGCCUCGCACCUGCACCAGCACCACUCCCUUAUCCGCUGGGCCUAGCAUGAAUUUGUUCGUAACCGUUUAUAUUCCUGCCAGCCUGAUCCCUGCACUAGAACUGAGAGCUUCUCAACUCAUCCGUUAAUGGAGGCCAUAGUCAGGGCAGGUGUAUCUUCCUCGGCGCCGGCGCAGCUACGCCCGUGCCCGAUGCCGUGCCGCAACCGCUGCCUACCGUCCUCCGUGCGCCGUCCCGGACGCCGGGGAGUUGCCUGCUCGGCCUCGGCGGCCGACGCCGACGUCGUCGAUCUCUUCGAUGCCGCCAAGCUCACGGUAUGGUAGUGAGAUACCUCACCGUUCGUUCGUGAGCAAGCCGUGUAUGUUCUCCAACGAAUUUUUGUUCUCUGUAGGUGGACAGGUUCGUGCAGAGCGGCAUGGUGGUCGGGCUAGGCUCCGGCCCGGCGUCCGCCCUGGCGGUCCAGUACCUCGGCACGCGCCUCCGCCGGGGAUCUCUCACCGAAAUCGUCGCAGUAACCUCGUAAGUUCUGAAUUUCUGAUUGCCAUUGCAUGAUCUGUUCCUUCUUCGUCACAGACUCAGAGUAACCUAGUAACUCUGAAUUUCUGUUUUCUGAUUGCCACUGCAUGAUCUGUUCCUUCCUUUGUGCAUGAAAGUGCUUCUUUUCUCAUCAGACACUCGAAUCAGUUUGCAUCUAAUCAGCUCUUGGGAUUGAUUGACCAGCCAGGUCCGUGCUCAGUGCGAGCGAGGCAGACAAGGCCGGAAUACGGGCUAGCAGCUAUCAGGAAGGAACCCAAGUGAGUAUGCGCAGUGCUGUACGCCUGUAACCAUCAGCUGUAAACCUCUUCUUACAACACGGGAAGAACAGCAUCUGAAACUGUGCUCUGCUCACUGACGUAUAGAUUGAUUUUGCUUUCACUGAUGCUGAAGUAAUCGAAGAGGGCACGCUGGCUGCCGUCAUCGGGCGGCGCAAGACCGAGAGUGGAGAGCCCUCUUUCAUGGUGGAGAAGGUAUUUGACUACUUAAUCAAUGUCUUCAGAGUUAGCGCGUGCAUGGAUUUCUGAUGGAUAAUCAUUCGUAUGUAGGCAACAGUAAUAGAUGCAUUGCAUAUCUGAACCAUUUAUUUGAUUUCAACCAUGUUGUCCCAUGUGUUAUACAGGCAAUGGUUAAAUCAGCUGAUAAACUUGCCUUCAUCACUGGAAAUGACAAAUACCUGACAGGUGUUGAGGGUUCCAUUCCAGUCAUAGUUAAAAGUGUAAGGAAAAAAAAAUCCUGUUGCUUCAGAUAUGGUCAGUUUUAUACAAUGUUUAUGAAGAGAGGAACAGAUGAUUUCAGGGAAAUUGGAUAGACACUGCUGAAGAGAUCGACGAUUUGUUCCUAGGGGAUGCAGAGGUGCCCUCAUCCAUACGAAUACUCAAUAGUUAAAUUUUCAGAACUCGAAUACCUGCUGGACUGCUGAAACUGAAACGCUCAUGAAUGUUUGGUCACCAUUGUAUGCGAUUUUCUGAUCAGGUUUGGAGGAGGCCAUCAUUUGGGACUGCCGGUCCACUAGGGGGUGAUCACCCAUUGGUCACUAAGGAGGGUCAUCACGUUCUUGAUGUGAUCUUUACGACUCCAAUCCCAGAUCUAGGUAAGCUGAUGGAAGAUCAUUGCAACAAAGGGGCUAAACUCAUCUUGAGUCCAUUAGACCAUUUCUUGGGCCAAAGCUUUAGCUGGUUGCUUUGCCAUAUUUAUUGCAGGUCAGGUAGCAGAGAAGUUGGACAAAGUUGCUGGCGUUGUGGAUCAUGGGAUUAUUUGUAGCAACCAGUAAUUUUCUUAACGCAAGCAUACAGAAUAAUAUUUUUAAUUAAUUUUGUGGGGAUGGUUUACGGAGGUGUGUUUCAGGUUUUCUUUUUCCCCCAAAAAGGUGCUUCUCAGUGUUCUUACACGCUGCAUCUCCUGCCCUGCAGAUCGUAUGCGGUGAUUGCAUCCAAGGGGGAAGUGCAGGUUAUUGAGGAGAAACCCUCGGUGAUACCGUAGCGCUGCAGAAAUCUUCCAGUUGCCUGCAGAGGCGCCAUUUUUCUCCACACAUUCCGGAUAAGAGUACUUCCAGGUUGGCUGGAAAAUGCCUGAGAGUUAAAUAAUAUAGUAGCACCAAAUGUAAUCUCUUCAGUAUCCAACACUCUAUGCACCAGUAUGCAAAACCUUCCACUUCGUGUGCAAUGAAGAUCAACAAAUCUGCAGUCACAGACUGUUAACAUGCCGAAAACACCAUUUUCCAUGGCAGGUUACUGAUAACUAUGCUCGUAGGUCCAAAAAAAUUAGUUGGGCAGCAAAGCAAGUAUGCUUGACAGAAUGUCGACUGACAAAUACUAGCGCUUUGCAAUUUUCAUCCAGGAUACAUAAAAUGGCAGUGUUGAACCGCAGGACUUCCUCUUCCUGGCUUCUUGUCCCACAUGUCAUAGAAACAUUUUCUUGCCAAAAAUUUUCACAAAUGUGGCUUCAAUAUUGCUAGCCAAAAUGAUUUUGGCAGCCACAAGUCGCCUAAUGUUAAGGUUAGGCACCAACCAAACAGAAAGCUCCACCUCCCAGCUCCAAUCCAAGCAGCCGUCAGAGACAUACAGUACUAAUAAAACUUUUUUAGGGAAUGCUAUUGUUUCGCCCAAAAAGCAGAAACUGCAAGCACAAGUGCACAACAUGUUCAGUUCCCCAACUAUGCCUGAACUCUAAAACACACACAGAGAGAUCAAUACAAUUUCUUGAUUCAUAUGGCUCGUUCUUUCUAAUCAUGUGACACGGCAAAGUUCUUGCCGUUAUCCCGAAUAAAAAGAUAUAAUCCAUACGGCUGACAGAUAUCUCUAAAUAAACACAACUAGCAAUCAUAUUUACGCUGCAACCUCAGCACACAAGGAACGUCUGUAAGCAACUUGAAAAGAUGUGUCAUUAUCUCCUUACUCCUGCUUUUUCUCCAACACCACCUUCCUGCUGUCGAAGAAAAACAGUUUAGAACAAUUUAGAAGACGUGCAAGUUCCGUCAAGUUUAGCUAGAGACAUUAGUAGGUUUCAUGAAUUCAGCAGACAUAUACAAAUGAAGGGCGUGGUUGUAUCACGGUACAACAACCUGAGUAGCUACAGGACAUUUGGCCUGUUCGUUUCAGCUUAUUCAGCCGGUUUAUCAGCCACCAAACAGUAUUUUCCUUUCACAACAAAUCAGUCGUUUCAGCUUUUCAGCCGGCUUAUAAGCUGAAGCGAACAGGUCCGCCUUCAGGCAGUCACAUGAAGAUGCCACUCCUUGGCGUCUCGUUGCCCGGAGGAAUCACCAUGGCGAAGAAAUUGGAAGGCAGCUCCGUGAAAGUGAAGCCAUCCGAGCGUCACUACAUAAAACGAUUUGUAGGGCACCCCAUAUUUUAUUUUUAUAAGGAUAGGCGAAAUUGCUAUCCGCAUCUACAAAACGGAUCGCUAUUGUAGCAUACGACCUACCCGUGGAGAACCAUUUGUAGGGAUGGGCCACGGGACGACCCGCCCCUGGGGGGCGAUUUCGAUUUUCAUGGGCGGGCGAUGGGGUGUCCCGUCCAUGGAAAUCACAAUUUGCAAGGGGCGAGUGACGGUAUCACCCGCUCCCGAAAAUUAUUUCCAGUAACGAGUGAUGACGUGGGCCGCUUCUAGAAAUGGUACAAUUUCUUGAUGCAUGAAUGCGCCAUGAACAUCCUUAGCAGAACACUUUGCAUGGUGCCUCAUUGCCUUCUUGAAUGUGAAUAUGGCAAGAAACAAGUUCACAAAAAUAUAAACCGUAGCUCAAAAAAUAAGUGUCAUAUAUAAACCAACAUAUAAAUCAUGUCACAACUCAACAUAACCACAACCAAAUGAUAGAUCCCACAGAACAGAUAAGACAUGUCACAUUACAUAUAAAGUUUGUAGAUCACAACUCAACAUAACCAAAUAACAAAUUCCACGCAACAGAAACAAAACCAAGAUUCAUUGACAAAUAACACUACUACACUAUCCAUUUCUUCACUUAGCAUUAGCUACUCCUAAGGCAAAUAUCCCAAGCAUAACACCUACAAUCAAGGUCACAACAGUAGUGAUGACAGCCACGUUGCAUGCACCCCCAACAGUCUUUUUUUUCUGGCCACAACAGCCUUGUUUUCUUUCCCAAAAGAUGCUUCAACUCUCCCACUUCCAACUUUAGUUUAUUAACAUUCCCUUUCAUUUCUCCACACUGGAUCUUCAAUUCACACAUCUCCAUCUUCAGAUCACAAAUUGCCAAUUUUAUUUGACUUAUCUCAUUCAACAUGCCAUUGCUUGCCAACGGCUCAGGAGGCUGAAAUCCAGCACUUGACUGAGCUGCUGCUGUUCCUGGAGCAAUACCUGCCAAUUGAUAGUUUGGAGGCAUCGAAUGGGGAAAUUUUUUCCUUCAAAUGGUUCAAGUACUGAGGCUCAAACCAGUAUUGGUCAUAUAUUCUAGAAUCUCCCUACUUCAACAACACAAAUGCAACUCAACCCUUUGGUUCCAACACGGUUGAUUCCAUGAUGUUAGGGUUGCAAUCUUACCUUAGUGUUGUUGGGGUACUUGUAGAAGAUGUAGCCCCCAUUGCUCCUGAGCCAAAUCACCCUUAUUCCGCAUUUAUGGCAGUCGACGAGGGGAAGUUGCACGAACUGGUUGCGACUUGGUACCAACGAUGGGAAGCUGCUCGACAUAACCUUCACUUGCUUGUUCUCGACGGAUGUCGAGGAGCUAGAGGACAGUGAGAAGUUCAACAACUUGCCUUGCCCCCCUUGGCCUCCUUUGCGGCAGCGGAAGCUGUGGCGGCGUGCGGCAGCGGUGGAAGCUAUGGCGGUGUGGCUGCGACGGCGAAGGUGAAAGCAUACCGGCGGCAUGCCCGCAUGGAAGGAGGUGUCGUGGGAGGAGAGCGCCACGGUGGCGGCCCGAGCGCGGAAGGAGGCGCUGCGAAUGGAAGGCGCCGUGGGAGGAGGGAAGGAGGCGCGACGCUGCGGCAUGGCGGUGGAGGCGUCGCGGGGAGGCGCUGCGGCGGCGGAGCACGCGGGGGAGGGGAGCGGCGCCGGAGCGGGGGCGGAAGGAGGGGCCGGGGAAAUUUUGACAGCCUAACGGCGUCCCGCGGGCUUCUCCAAAAAUUUGGCUUAGUAACCGUGGGCGCCACUAUAUAUAUAGGGUGGCAUUAGCAGCACCUGGAAAUCAUUUCUUCAUUUUUUUUCUAAAAUGUAUUUUGGAGCUAUUAAAUGAUCUUAAAUGCAAAAGUUAUCAACUGCAAAGUUUAAUGUCUCGUUGAGCUCCACAAUUUUGAUAUAAAGUUUUUAUUUAUCCAAGAAGAAAUGAAAAUUUCAAAAAAUACAUUCACUAAACACAUUCACAUGUACUCACACAUAUACUCAUACAUUCACAUAUACUUUGCGGUGAAUAUGUGUGUUUAGUGGAUGUAUUUUUUUAAUACAAAAUAUUUUUAAUUUCAUCUCGGAUGGAUACAAACUUUAUAUCAAAAUUAUAGAGAUCAAUGAGAUAUUAAACUUUGCAGUUGACAACUUUUGCAUUUAAGAUCAUUUAAUAGCUCCAAAAUACAUUUUAGAAGAAAAAUAAAAAUGGAGAAAAUAUUUCCAGCCAUCACCCGCACUUGGAAAUCGUUUCUAGGGGCGGGUGGUGACGUCACCCGCCCCUGCUAAAUGGUAGCCUAUAUAUGGUGGCGCUCGCGGGGACUUAGCCAAAUUUUUUCUUGAAAAAUGUAGACGUUUAACAUUUGAAAUUAGGGUUCAACAUUUCGUUCAACUUUUUUUCGAAAAAAUGUUGGUGAACAUUUUUUUAUCCAACAUUUUUCCAGUUGAAAUGUUGAAUAGACCAUCAUCAGUUGGAUCUUGGUGGCUUUGAAAUGGAUCAGUUGGAUCUGGUGGCUUUGAAAUGGAACGGAACUGCGAAGCUAAGCUUUAUAUCAUCAGCUGGACCUUGGUGACUUUGAAACGGAACGGAACUCCGAAGCUAAGCUUUAGCUCAAACGCUUAUCCAUCUUACAGCCGGUAGACUAGUAGUAACAGGGUUCUCUAAAAAAAAUAAAAGUAGUAACAGGGGGAAUGUGCUUGAUAGGUGAUAGCAGCAUAAGAUCAUCUAGAAGUUUUUUCUCCAACAGAAAAGAUAAAGAGGUGCUGCCAGAUCCUUCACCGCAGCAACCGGCGGAGGUAACAAAUGACGCAUCAGCUGAAUGACUCAUACAACAAAUAGCACAUCGACUGAAGACACAUACAACGAAUAUGAGGAUGAGAACAAGGAACCUUUGCCAGCCUCAGGAGCUCAGGAUCAGUGAAUCCCUGACCCCGAGCGCUGCUGCAACCUGAGCAAGUCCAAAUUGCAAAUUCAACAGAUCAAUUUGAUUAAAUGACCACCAAUCCACCAUAUAUCCUCCAGCAAGCUGGUCACUAGUACUGUAUCAGAAGAUGUUUACAACAACCGAACAUCCUGGGGUUUCCAGACAACACCCAUUUUCAAGUUGCAUCUCGCUAUCAGAAACUGGCCUAAUAUACUCUUUCCCCAACAUGCAUAGUGCUUUUUUUUAAUAAUUUCUUCAACGAAAGGAGGACUUAAGUACAGCAGGGGCGACAGAACAGCUAGUAAGGUAGAGUAGAACAGCCAUUGAUAGCCCCCCUGUUGAAUUUGAUGCUGAGGUUUUGUCUAAUUGAAGAAACAGCAUUGCCACCUAACUAGAGAUUUUUUUCCUCCAGCUAAAGUCAAAAGUCCAAAAUUCAUACUCUGACACCACCUCUAUUCUGAAUCGCUCUCCAGGCUUAGAGCCUUCAAGCCUCUAGCCCUCUGCAUGAUGUUUCACUCAUGUAAGUAACAAGCAUUCAACGGAACAGAGGUAGAAUACAUGCUUCUUGAAGCAAAACAAAUUUAAUUGUAUCCAGGUUACCUUUUUUGAACUCUUCUUCUCUCGAACUUCAUAUCUCUCAUGUGACAGAUCUGACAACCAAGCUCCUGGGCUCACCAUCUGUGAUUAUACCGCAAAAUGAAUCAGACAACAGUGUAAAAAAACAGAGAGCACUAUAACAGCAACAAAGAAAACAGAAGUUGAAAUCAAGUUUUUGAGCUUGAUCAUUACAAGCAAGCACUUCUGCAUCAGCUUGGGUCUUUUCUUUGGCCUCUGUGGGAGCUUGCAGCCCUUCAUUGCCAUGAAAUCCUCCUCCUUCUCCUUGUUAGACAAUGCAAUGAAGAACCUUGGCAACGCAGUGGUUCCCUUGUCCUCUGUUAAACCACCAAAAUCGAACCCAUUCCCCUCAAAAGGAAAUGGAGAACCCCUAGUGGAGUAAUACCGGUCCUUCUCUGGGGAGAGUGCCAUUGACUGCUUGUACUCGUUCGCUGGUGAAUCCGAUUUCCUGCUCACAUAGUAAGGUAUUUUGAGCACUGUACUAGGGCACCUGCUGGUAUUGCAGCGGGCAAUUCGAAUAAAGCCUGAAUACACUGAAUCUACCUGCGUUGAAGGGUGCUUGGGCGGCGUGGCGAACGAAAUGGUGCAAUGUCAGCUCCGAGAAGAGGCCGGGUUGCACGGGGCACAACACGUCUAAGAACUUCAGAUGGCGAGGGUGAUGGUGAGCCGUCAUCGCGCGUCUUGACACAGCGCAGCCGCUUCCGGCUUCCCCAUUGCAGGAAGAGGUUUGGCUCGCUGGGAGACCUCGAGGGCCUUGAGUCCUUCACCUCCUGAUCCAUCCGUACCCUGAAAGUGAACGCAGGUAGUUAGGUACCGAGUAGAAACUUAAGUCAAUGGAGCAACUUCGGAUCAAAGUUCCAGUGGAUUUUGGGAAGAGAGGAGGAUGGGCACUCAAAUCAAAGCAAAAUCUUGCCCCGAAAUUCAUCAAAAAAAAAAUCCUGCCCAACACACGAAGCAAGUGCCCCCUCUCCAUCCAAACACCUAGUGCCCUCUUAUCUUACCAUCACCAGCUAGAAUGAGAAAAGAAAUAGAACUCGAUCUUAUCUGAGCACAUCUGCUUUGCACAAGGACUCUAGAAGGGGGAACGGAGCAUGCACUAGAACUAGAAAGCGGAGAAAAAUACUUGUUUUAUUCCAAAACAAAUCUAAUCCUUCUCUUCAAAAGGUAUCCGCUAGCUGAUACAAGCAAAUCAGACGCCCCCAAGCAGGGGCAGACCCAAGGAUGGCAAUCUUUACACAAAAAAACGAAGUUUGCCGGUUGUAAUACAUUUGCAACUUCGAAUUGGGUCAGAUCCGAAUACCAAUAGCUUUGGGGCGCUCAGUUUCGCACAGCGGGAAGGGACGAGAUGGGGCGGACGUACCGGGUGGGUGCUCGUCGGCGGCGAAGAGCCCGGCGAAGACGGGGCAAAGGGCGGCGCCGCUCGCCCAGUCGGCGCCGCAAGGCCACGAGAGAGAGGACAGGAAGGGGCAGGCAGGCAGACUGAGAGAGAGAGCUGCACGGGAGGAAAACAAAAGAUUAGGGGUGAAGGCGCACGCGGCACGCCGCAGUCAGCGACGCGCUCGGGCCGUGUCGAAGUAGUUCUCGUUCGGCCCAAGAAGGUCCCGUUCGAAUAAAAAGAAGCCUGGCCAUAUUUGCCGUGUUGGUUGUUUGUAGCACUCGGCCCAACGUUGGAUUGGGGCCUGGUCCGUUCGAACAAAAGCCUGAUCUGACCUGUGUGCGUGGGGGGCAUCUUCCAGCGUGAUCAGAAAUCUAGGGAAUCCAACGAAGGAGAAAAAAAAAUCAACCUUCACAUAUCCUAUAAAAACCACCCGGAGAUCUAGAGAAUUUACAAAUCACAGGGCAACUCUACCAUAUAUCACCAAAAAAAAUCUGAAAUUUAACUUAUCACCUAGCACUGCUACCACAUCACCACGCACCUGUACAACAUCACUUAGAGAGACAUGUAAUUUAACAUAUCGCGCUACCAUAUCAACAAGCAAUGCAAAUAUAACACAUUCACGGCGCGCGACACCAAACAAUCAUGUUAGGCAAGGAUCAUAGCAAUGAAUUACUUGGGAGACAUCUCCCAAAAAAAACACUUGUGGCCUGUUCGCUUCAGCUUAUAAGCCGGCUGAAAAGCUGAAACGGCUGAUUUGUUGUGAGAGGAAAACACUGUUUGGUGGCUGAUAAGCCGGCUGAAUAAGCUGAAGUGAACAGGCCGUUAGUUUUUAAUGUUUCACAGGUGCAUUAAGACUAAAUCGCUAUUAUAGAUAGGCAAUGAUUAUAGAUUGUAGUAAUAUCAUGAACUGCAAAAGCAAAACAAGCCACAUGAGAUAUCUUUGCCAAUUUGAACAUUGUCAUUAAUAUGUCACUAACCUAAUAAGUGCACAUCCAGCAUGGUACCCUGAUUCCAAUUCAUCCUUCACAACAAAAAAGAAGAAGCUUAGAGCAAUGAUAGGCUGAUAUCUAUGUCACGUUAGCUAGAGAAUUUCAAAACUUGUAAAUCAACCUAGCUAGAGAAAUAUAGAAGUAAGAUUUCACGAAUUCAAAAAGUAACUGAACAAUUCAAUCAAAUCAAGUGGUGCAGUGGUAAAACUUAUAAUUAACAAUUUGGGCAGCCGCAAGACUUUACUUCGGGUCAAUGACUAUUGGGUGAAGAUGUCUCUCAAAUUUCUUUGGCCUGGCAGUGAUAGGCGUCCAAACCAAUAGACUCUCGAGAUAGGCAGCUCAACAUUUACAGAUGUAAUCCUCCAUAGGAUCCUCCUUCUCUUAGGCUUCUUAUCACUACCAUCCACCAUCAGGAUGGAAAACUUGGGCUCCAUCGCCGGCAACUGUUCUUUCUUAAGCUUCACAGCCUCCAGAGAUCUUUGGCUAGGAACUUCUUAUAAUUCCUCCACAUAUUGGUUGCAGGAUCAAAGUUCCACACAGAGAUGUUGACAUCGCCAAGUGGCUAGGAAUGAUCAAUGUACACAAACUUGAUAAAGCUGACAACAUAGGCCAUCAUCCUGGUCAUGGGAAAUGCGUCUGAUAGCUCAAACCUGGGUUUCGUCCACCUCUCGUCAGGCGACCUAUGAACCCAAAAUCCACUACUGCACCACCGUCAGCUAGGGCCAAUUGCAGUGCGCGAGUCGCUUGUGCUACCGCUGCAGCUGCCCAGCGCAACUGCUCAGCUGCAAACCCCAAACAGCUGCAACCUGAUCACUAAAGCUAAUGACUUGCACAACAAACAAAUACAGAACCAAUAGUUUGUAUAGUAAAAGAACAGUCUCACUGUUCUGGUUGUUGUAUAGCUGCAGCAAGCUGUUCCGAGCACUGCCGACAUCGGCGGCGAACAAAUCCUGAAACGACUGCUCUGGGAGGUUCCACCUUAGCACAUGCUAUCGACACUGUUCGUCCGUAGGUGCAGGCAGUGACCAACACAGACAACAUCCUCCGUGCGCCGCUCCAUUUGCUUUCAUGCCGCAAAGCACGUCAUAGUUGACUCGGAUGUACAAGGCUGAGAUGAAGUCCGGGGUGGAGUCAAUGAGGCAGGCCUAGAGGGUGAGCCCCUCCACCACCCUCUGGCCAUGCACUUUGCAGCUGGAGGACUUCUUGAUCGGGCAGUUGAUGUUCGUCCACUCCUGCUGUAGCCACACAGGUUGCACGGGAGGCCUUUUUCAUAUCACGAAGCGCUUCAACUCGAACGAGGACGACACAUAUUUUGUCAGCGCGAGCCAUAGAUGGGGGAAAUACCGGGCUGUGGCCGCAACCACGGUUUUCGCACACGCGGCGGUGGCUAUGGCUAGCGCACGAAGUUGUACGGUGUAAGAGGAUGAGGGACCCACAUGCUUCGUUGCAUGCGGGAUUCACGUGGAUCCAACAGGUGGAUGGUGGAUGUAGUGUCAAAAAACAUAUUGUGACACGCGAAUACAACUUUUUUCCCAUUUUUCCAUUUAUACUCAAGUAAAUAUCAUUUAUGCGUAUAGGUCAUGUGCAUUAGUUGUUUAACAACAUUUGCAAAAAUUAUGACAAACAUUAUACAUAUAAAUUGUAUAUAUCAUAAAGGUUGUGCUACAAAAUUUAUUGUAAGGAAAAAUACGCAUGUAAAUUGUUUGUAUAAGUUAUGACUUUUUAAAAAUGAAAAUUUGAAGUUGUCCUUUAGAAUUGCACUUGGAAGUGCUACGCAUAAGUUAUGCAUUCCAUUAAAGUUGUGCUGAAAAAUUAUCUCAUAAGAAUUUUUAAUACGAAGUUAUGUGUAUAAGUUAUGAUAUUUCAAAAAAUAAAAAGUUGUUGGAAUUUAUUUUCCGAAAACUAGAAAGUUCGAAGAAGUGUAGUGGGCUGUCGGGAAUCAAGCAGCCCUCCUGGUGAGCGCGCUCCAUUAGUGUUGGUGCUGUUAUAUAUCAGCGAACGUGAUAAAAAAAAACCCCAUAGCAUUGGUGCUGCUAUAUAUCACCGAAGGUGAUAAAAAACCCACUGUUGCCUUCAUUUUCACCCAGCAGCUUCCUCCGCCUCGGCACAAUGAGUGGCCCACUCGAGGUCAUUCUCCUCCUUCGGUCCUUCCUCCCGAUGAACACAAUACCACCGCCUUCUUCCCCCGCGCCGCCAUCCUCCUCCAUCUCCGGUGGUAGGAGAUACCGGAUCCGCUGCCCCAUCGCCCUCUCCUCCAGUUCACACUCCUCUCUUCUCAUUCGCCCCCCGCACCAACCUCCUGCACUGUCUCCGACGGCUCCUGCCGUCAGAUUCGUCGCCACCGGCCGCCAUCGCUCUAACCCGGCUCUGCCGGGGAGCUCACCGCUAUGGCCCUACCUCCUCCACCGCCCAUCGAUUGUCCUCCACCACCUGCGGCUGGCGGCACCCCGCCGCCUCGCCACCACCUCCGGCUACCUUCCACCCAAGACUUCCCCUCUACAACCGGAAGCUCACCGGCGACCCUAACACCAUAGCAACCUGAAACCGAACCCUAAGCUCCUAACCCUAGCCAUGGCCUCAGCGGCUACGGGAGGAAGACGACGGCAACAUUGCUCGGCCAUCGUGGGCCGUCGUCCGCGCCUUCAUGCGACAACUUGCAAAUUUGUCGCCUUCACCCAUUAGCAUUGCCCGUGAUCAGAACAGUUGGCCAGGAAACCAGGUAUAACCACGCGGCAGCAUAUAGCAUACAGAUACUCGAGGACCAUCCCAACCAAAACGCGUGGACGUUUCGUUAGUUCAAACAUUCCUCCGAUCGCUCUAGCCUUCAGCACUCCGCUGGCUUUGAAAAGUGAACCCAGAUCGCUGACUACGAAUUUUGACGAACCCUGGACGAGUCAUUUCUUGACGCAAAGGAAGAGGACACACGGUCAGGCAGAAAAUCCUCUAGAAGAAGUCGAGACUCGUACGGCGCGUGCCCCCGGCCGAUUCAAAAAGUUCAUCUCCGUAUGACGCAGCCGGUCCGGUCCAAACACCGAAAGCAACGAGGCCGUCAACGCUUUCCAUCACCGUCUGGGCUUCGUUCCGUCCGACCGACGCCACACCUCACGUACUCCCUCAAGUCAUCAUCUGCGUCCCAGUCUGUAUCACAUGCUCUGCUGCAGCUGAACAGCCCUGCAUACUUGGUGGAGGGGAAAGGUAGGCGACGGAACCAACGCAACCUCUGACCUCUCUUUUCGGCAAACCAUGGCGUCGUGGCUGUUGCUCCGGAGGAUCCAAUCUGCUGGCCGUCUAUCCGGCGGCCAUGGCCGGCUGCUCAGCUUCAGGGGCGGCGAGGGGCUCUGCCGUCCUCUUCCCCCGGCGGGCGAGCCAUCAGUCUGCAGCAGUGCCUACGGGCAAAUCAAGACAGACACCAGGAUCACGGUUUGUUCCUUUCCUCCCUUUCUCAAGUUCAAUUCCAGAAUCAUAGGACCUAGUUAAAUUUCGGUUUUUCAUACCUUCCAAGAAGAAAUGCGUUCAGAUAAUUUCAUCUGGACCAUUUCUGUGUCUUCUUCUUUGCGUGUAUGUAUCCAUCGUUUCUGCUGAAAAGUCUUCUGAUGCUUAUUUCAAAAAAAAAAAACGGUCUUCUGAUGCUUGCUGCUUGCGAUAUACGUGCAGAACCAUGAGCCACAUCUCGACAGGUUUUCAGAUCCCCAGGUUGCUCAUGAGGACCGUCAGUUCAUUCAGUUCUUGGACAGGAUGCUGGAUGCGAUGAGGAACCCUCAAAGUCUUGCGCUAAUACAGCGUGGGAGGCUGGCAAGUGGGCUGAAAGCAUUGGAUGAUGACAUAUGAGCCAAGUUCCCUCUGCAGACAUACAAGAGCCGAAUAAACGUGAAAAUUUGUGUUGUGUAAAAUGAUCCUGCUGUGUUUUCUGACUAACAUUGCACAAGUUUAGUGUGUUGAGACUGAUGCUGUUUAGGUUCAUUCCUAGUGGAUGAGAACAUCAACUUACUUGAAGCAAUUUCAUCUCUGAAGUGGGAACUGUUUUUCAAUAUCAAAUUGCCAAUAAUCUAUAAUAAAUUGUAGGCUUACCUUUGCUCAAAUGUUUUGGCCAACUCAACGGCCAGUAGAAGCGAAGAAUACAUCAUCUGCACUCAUACUUGUGCCUAAGCUUUCAUGUUGGCAACAUGCUAGCAACUAGCACUUCAAGCAUCCGACAACAAUUAUCACAGGCUCACAGGAAGACAUCUGAACAUGCCAAGCUUCUCUUUGAAAAUGUCGAUAUCAAAUAAUAACUUUCCACAUUUUUUUCCUUUGGUCUUUCGCAUCUUUUAAUGCUUGAGAUCAGGUAGAUAUCCCUAAUUCCUUACUGGCUGCAUUGCAUAUGAUGCUUCAGAUGACAACAAAGGGUUGGCAAAAGAAUUAUGCUAUACAAAAUAAAGUAUUAAGUUUAAUUUAAAACUCGUACCUGGAGAAACAAAAAAGAUAAAUUAUGUUAAGGGGUAAAUUGAACCAAAUUGCAUAGUUUAGGGGUAAACUGAACCAAGAAAUAGUUUAGGGGUUAUCCAGACUUUGUCUAUAGUUGAGGGAAAUAAUUUAAAUUUUUUUCCUAAGUUUAAUAAGAAAGAAAGACAUAUAAACUAGGAACUGCAGAACUUGCACAGGAAAGUGUCACCAUUGGCCACUCAUGAAUCGAAUGAGCUUGCACACUGGUAUCAAGGCACCAUAUCACAUAUCAGUGCAAAAGAAAUGUAGGGACAACACACGGACCUGUCAGCAUGCCAUGGAACAAUUUUAAUUUCCGUAUAAGUGUUUGAACAGAAGAAAGAAAAAA